Molecule: ribosomal RNA, 467 nt
Filed under: uncultured bacterium
Lineage: Bacteria
Description: partial 16S ribosomal RNA
Rfam family: Bacterial small subunit ribosomal RNA
Source: RNAcentral
GACGAACGCUGGCGGCGUGCUUAACACAUGCAAGUCGAACGGAAAGGCCCUGCUUUUGUGGGGUGCUCGAGUGGCGAACGGGUGAGUAACACGUGAGUAACCUGCCCUUGACUUUGGGAUAACUUCAGGAAACUGGGGCUAAUACCGGAUAGGAGCUCCUGCUGCAUGGUGGGGGUUGGAAAGUUUCGGCGGUUGGGGAUGGACUCGCGGCUUAUCAGCUUGUUGGUGGGGUAGUGGCUUACCAAGGCUUUGACGGGUAGCCGGCCUGAGAGGGUGACCGGCCACAUUGGGAUGGGGAAACGGCCCAACCCCCACGGGGGGGAAGCGGGGGGGAAUUUUGCCAAAUGGGGGGAAGCCUGAUGAAGAAACGCCGGGGGGGGGAAGACGGCCUUGGGGUGGUAAACCGUUUUCGCCUGGGACGAGGGGUGGGGGGCGGUAAUGGGUAAAGAAGCCCCGGCUAACAACGU